GGGGAUGGGGUCGCGGCCCAUCAGGUAGACGGCGGGGUAACGGCCCACCGUGCCUGCAACGGGUAGCCGGGCUGAGAGGCCGAUCGGCCACAUUGGGACUGAGACACGGCCCAGACUCCUACGGGAGGCAGCAGUGGGGAAUUUUGCGCAAUGGGGGCAACCCUGACGCAGCAACGCCGCGUGCGGGACGAAGUCAUUCGUGACGUAAACCGCUUUCAGCGAGGAAGAACCAUGACGGUACUCGCAGAAGAAGCCCCGGCUAACUACGUGCCAGCAGCCGCGGUAAUACGUAGGGGGCGAGCGUUAUCCGGAAUCAUUGGGCGUAAAGCGCGCGCAGGCGGGCUUUCAAGCGGGGCGUCGAAGCCGGGGGCUCAACCCCCGGAAGCGCCCCGAACUGGAAGCCUCGGAUGCGGCAGGGGGAGGCGGAAUUCCCGGUGUAGCGGUGAAAUGCGCAGAUAUCGGGAAGAACACCGACGGCGAAGGCAGCCUCCUGGGCCGGCAUCGACGCUGAGGCGCGAAAGCUGGGGGAGCGAACAGGAUUAGAUACCCUGGUAGUCCCAGCCGUAAAC
RNAcentral lists this ribosomal RNA (569 nucleotides) under uncultured bacterium. RNAcentral describes it as "bacterial SSU rRNA". It matches the Rfam family "Bacterial small subunit ribosomal RNA", at positions 221 to 807 of the family's 1533-position model. The record is from RNAcentral.